Long non-coding RNA from Felis catus (domestic cat), 4498 nucleotides. RefSeq lists it as uncharacterized. The transcript is spliced from 3 exons. NCBI's taxonomy places the organism in Eukaryota, Metazoa, Chordata, Mammalia, Carnivora, Felidae. The record is from RefSeq and is a predicted model, not a curated record.
UCUGCAAGGACAGUCGGUGUGUGUGUGGGGGGGGAGGAGGGCCCGCGCCUGCACCCCGCCCCCCGCCACCGCUCCCAGCCCACCUCAGACACAUACUUUGGGCUCCCCGGGCCUCGGUGUCCCACAAGGUCUAAACGAGGCAGGAAACCAGCCAGAGGGCCAUCCGGGAAUGGCGGCUGACGCCUAUAAGGGACCUGAGCUCAGGACACAGCAAGUUUCUGAGUGGUCCUGACUCGCGGGGCUGGGAAGCUCAAGAAAAGGAUACGAUCGGCCUAUAACGAGCGUCAGGCUUUAAGGAGAGUAGGUAAAAUAGAUAUAGCACAGAAGCGGACGGAACCUAAGUCUCCGAUGAUUCCACAGCCCCUUCUUCACCUCGCAAGGCCUCCCAGGCCUACCCGAAAAGCCCGCUCCCUCCCCGGGGAAGUUGCUGGUGCGCAGAAAGCAAGGGAUGGGCUUUUACAGAAAAACCGAAAUCUGUUUUUAAAACUCUUGUCCAGUGAUCGUUUGUCAGCACAUCCGGCUGAGUUAGACACCUUGUGGAUGGUGCUGGCGCCCUCCCUCACCCUCUUGCCUUUCCUGGGGGGUGCCCCCAGCCCCCAGCUGCGGCCAGUGCUGGCUGCUGACGCUCACACCUGCCUCCUCUCCAGGGAACCGCCCCCUCCUGUCUGCCUCUUCCCGGCCUGAACGGCCUGCGGCCAGUGACCAGCCAACACGGGCGGGCAAAAGGCGCUCUCUUGCCUCAAGGUGGGCCCACGUGUGCUGGGGCUCAUGCUCUGGAGCUCUCGUGAGACCAGGUGAGUGUCUCCCGCUGAGACUCCCUCUCCGCUGCACUCCCUUCCCCUCUCCUGGGAGGCUUCCUCCAGUAACCCACUUGCACAGAAUCCUUGCCUCAGGCUCUGCUUCUGGUAAACUCAGCCCCAGACACUAGUUAUUCCUAUUGCAGAGUGUUCUGGAAAGCUGACAGGUGAGGCAGCACAGCCUCAAGGAAGGGGAGGGGGGGCAGAAGUCCCGCCCGCAGCCGCAUUGUGUGUAAAAGGCAGAGCGGAGGCUUGAACCCAGUUCUUGGGAUUCCAGAUGCUGGUGGGACACACGUGAAUGGAACCGUGGCUGGGCCCACGUGGCUAAGGAUGCUCCCCCAUCUCUGGGACCUCAGGUGCUGUGUGUACCAGUGUGGUCCCCAGUCUGGGGUCCCAUCCACUGGGAGUCACUUCGGCCUCGGAGUUAAGCUGUCUCCUCCCUAGAGACCAGGUGGGGCUGGGUCCCCCGGCUCCUGGCUGGGGUCUGCAGUCAGCGGGGAACCCACUGGCCUCCUGCCUGUACUGGUCCUGUCCUGUGGGGAUGUCUCCUGAUACACAGAGACAGUGAGAGGCCGAGAGGGGAGACUGUCUCCUUCAAUAAAAGCCACUUAUAUGGAGCUAUGGUGACCUCAGGUCCCUUCCUCGGGGGCCUCAGAGUAAGUUCUCCAGGCCUCUAAACGUCCCCAUUGCUGGCCAGCUCCUGCCCUCCGACCCUGUCCUUGGCUCACGGUGCUUCCUCAGUGCCCAAUCCUCAAACCUUCUGGAAACGGGGACCUUCCGCACCUGGAAGACAAUGACAAAGGCCAGCCGGGCUGCCAGCACGGCCCAGAAGUCCUUGGAGAUGUCAUACUUGUGCUCCGACCACGGGGGCUCCCGGUAGUCCUUGUACCUGCGGAGAUGGCCAGGCAUCAGUGUGGGUCUUCGAGCAGGAACCGGGAUUCCGGCCGGCGCCCUGCGGCCUCAGGAAGGCCUCGGCCAGCUCUGGAGCCACCACCACCGUGGGCGGCCCUCCCUGGCGGAAGAGGCUCCAGACCAGCCGCUCACACGGUGGUCUCAGGACGCUGGGGAGAGAGUGGACCUAAGAGCCAGGGUGGACAUACGGAGAACUUGGCUCACGGUUAUAGAACAAGGUCGAGAAGAACUUGCCACUCCCAUCCACCGCUCGUCCCAACCCCUCAAUACGACCAAGGGACGUGUCUAGACAGGGGAUGCUUCCGCCAGGCUGGGGCCGCACCGGGGUCGGAGGCAGGGACCCCACCCAGCUUCCCUGCGAAGGGCGCCCCGCCGCGUGUCAGCUCGGCCGGGGCCUCCACUCGGCAGACGUCCCCGGCGUCACUUACGUUGAUGAUGACCGCCAGCUUCCCGACACCUCGGAGAAUAUUGUACCAGAUUCCUGGGGGAGGAGAGCAGCGGUUUCAAGACCCCCCCUUGCACCCGGAUCUCAGUGACUCGGGCUUGCCGGCCAGUGGGCCCGCUGUGAUGCAUAUGGCGGCCGGAGCCACCACGGAAGCCUCCCAAGUCCAGUCCCCGCUGAGCGGGAGGACGGGUCACGGACGAAGGGAGUCCCGCUGCUCUCUGCCAUGAGAGCAUCCUCUGGCCUGCUGUUCACUCCUUCACGUGGCCGCCUGGCCCUGCGGGCUCUGGGUUGGAGGCCUCGCAGACGAGGCGCCGGGCCAUGGGUAAGCCUGGCACUCCCCGGGGGAGGCGGACCCACCCGAGCGCAGUGCGGGGAAAGGAGACGGGUGACGGGCCAACGGGCCACAGGAGGCAAGCCUGGGCAAUGGGAGGGUUGAGGAGCCCGGCCCACGGGCCCCAGGAUGUCUCUGUGUGUCUAGACCCGAGAUCCGCUGGGGGACCCCGUGCCGAAAUCACGGGGUCUUGUUCAAGACGAGCAAACCCAGGACGCCAGCCCCGCCCGCAGGGUCAGUCUCUGUCUGCGUCUUGACCGUCCCUCUGAGCUACUCGGCCACACGCGGUAGAGAGCACACGAUGCUCCAGUGAGCUCCAGAUACAAGACGAAAACCUUCCGGCUCCUUGAGAAUCUCGGCGGGGGGCGGGGCGCGGUCUCAGUCUUCAAGGUGUCCCCGCCGCACCGGGGGACGCUAAACCCCAUUUCCGAGAACGAGAUGGGCAGGUGUUCAGUCUCGCCCGACCACACGCGGUGCCCAGGAGCUGAACGCGGGCAGCGGCUGUUCGCCAGGAAGGCUCCAAAGAGCCUGGUGUCACAGGUCAGGGCUGGGAAGCUGGGGCCGGGUUCCCCCUGGCAGGGAGCUGGGUCCCCGCAGCGCCUCCCCUCGGAGCCGCCCCUGGCGCCUGGGCGCAGGCCGUGGGGGCCCCUGGGGCCGCGUGUCCCCUCGGGGCGCACACGGAUCACGGGAGCAACACAGAGGCCUGUUCGAGGAAAGGUUACGGUGAAGGAGCCCAUAAACACCCCGUGAAAACCCGGCAGCUUAUGCCUCCGACCAAGCAGACGGGAACCAGGAAGUGAGCAGCUGACCCGUAAGAACGGGGAGAAAAGGGGAGCCGUGGGCCAAAGAAUGAAGACGGGCGUCCCAGCCUCACUGGCGGCGGGCAGGGAGGGGAGGUGGCCCAGGCGCUCCCUCUCAGCCCGAUGGGUUGGCGAGUUUCAGGACGCGGCCGCAGGGGAAGCACUGACAAGCCAAGGGGCCAAAGCAAACACACACCGCUGUGGGCUCGCCCGGGGCCUUUGGGCGCCUGAGAAUCAGGCCUUUGUCGGGGAGGCCACACUCUUGUCUUUACCGCCACGGGGCUCCCGAAUUCCCAAGGGCUGUCCAGGGAGCGCCUGGCAAGCGGCCCUUUCCUCCUGGGGACUUUGGUGUGCCACGUAAGCUUUUCCAGGCAAAGCCUCUUCUCACGGACGUGCACAGGAACGGGAGACCGGGGCGGGGGUGGGGGGGCGCUGGGGGCUUCCCGUCUCCGGUUCCCGCCCAGCGUUGUUAACUACCUGGCCUCAGUCUCCCCAUCCGGUAGACGGGACUGAGGAUUUCCCCAAGCUUCCUCGAGAGGUUCCUCGGAGGACCUGACACCGAAGGCCCCAGGAAAUGGUCAGGGCCCCUCCCCCAAACCCGGCGUAACCCUCCGGGGUUCAUCCUCAAAGCGUGGCACUGUCUGAGUUGUCCCCAUGGGUGACAGGCGUUUCCCACAAGGAUGAUCCAGGGCCAGGUGCCGGAGAAGCCCCCACGGUUCGGCAAGGUUACGCCUGCCCUGAUGGCGUCCCGCCCUGGUCUCAGGAAAGUGACAACUUGCCUAACAGGCCACUCAAUCUUUGUGUCUUCUGUCACUGAGCACAGACGGGCCGUUCUAACUAAAGUUGUGUGAAACGGGACUUCGAGGCAUCUUUGUGAUUUUCCAUCUCAUUUCAAGAUACAGUGGGACCUUCCUUGCCUUCACCUUGAAAACGGGGUCCUGGUUUAGUUAAGUCGACUCACGUGGAGAGAAUCAUCCUCACGGGUGACACUGUGGUCAGUUCCCACGAUCCCCGCAAGCGCGGCCUCCCGAAACCCUCAGCCUCUCUCCUGCGCCCCCAUGAGGAACCCUUGGUGACUUGGGGUUAACACCCCGUGGGCCCUGACCCCGUAGGCAAGCCAUGCAGUACCCUUCGUGCGUCAGUGGGAGGGGCCCCUUUCCGCCUCCCCUUCCCUGUUUGUGAAUGCUGACUGAAUACACGACACGCUACAGAC